CGGGGUGCAGCAGGCGCGAAAACUUUACAAUGCUGGCAACAGCGAUAAGGGGACCUCGAGUGCCAGGAUACAAUCUUGGCUGUCGCGAUGCCUAAAAAGCAUUGCAUAGCAAGGGCCGGGCAAGACCGGUGCCAGCCGCCGCGGUAACACCGGCGGCUCGAGUGGUAACCGCUAUUAUUGGGUCUAAAGGGUCUGUAGCCGGCCGGAUAAGUCUUUUGGGAAAUCCAGCUGCUUAACAGUUGGGCUUUCAGAAGAUACUGUUCGGCUCGAGACCGGGAGAGGUGAGAGGUACUUCAGGGGUAGGGGUGAAAUCUUGUAAUCCUUGAAGGACCACCAGUGGCGAAGGCGUCUCACCAGAACGGAUCUGACGGCAAGGGACGAAAGCUAGGGGCACGAACCGGAUUAGAUACCCGGGUAGUCCUAGCCGUAAACGAUACUCGCUAGGUGUCAGCCACGGUGCGACCGUGGUUGGUGCCGUAGGGAAGCCGUGAAGCGAGCCACCUGGGAAGUACGGCCGCAAGGCUGAAACUUAAAGGAAUUGGCGGGGGAG
RNAcentral lists this ribosomal RNA (550 nucleotides) under uncultured archaeon. RNAcentral's name for it is "bacterial SSU rRNA". It matches the Rfam family "Archaeal small subunit ribosomal RNA", at positions 326 to 876 of the family's 1478-position model. The record is from RNAcentral.